This 492-nucleotide ribosomal RNA is filed under the name uncultured bacterium. RNAcentral's name for it is "partial 16S ribosomal RNA". It matches the Rfam family "Bacterial small subunit ribosomal RNA", at positions 29 to 507 of the family's 1533-position model. The record is from RNAcentral.
AGUGAACGCUGGCGGUAGGCCUAACACAUGCAAGUCGAACGGCAGCACAGUAAGAGCUUGCUCUUACGGGUGGCGAGUGGCGUACGGGUGAGGAAUACAUCGGAAUCUACUUUUUCGUGGGGGAUAACGUAGGGAAACUUACGCUAAUACCGCAUACGACCUACGGGUGUAAGCAUUGGAUCUUCGUACCUUUCUCUUUUUAAUUAGCCGAUGUCGGAUUAGCUAGUUGUCUGGGUAAAGGCCCACCAAGGCGACGAUCCGUAGCUGGUCUGAGAGGAUGAUCAGCAACACGGGAAGUGAGAAACGGUCAAGAAUCCUACGGGAGGCAGCAGUGGGGAAUAUUGGACAAGGGGCGCAAGCAUGAUCAAGCAAUACCGAGUGGGUGAAGAAGGCCUUCGGGUUGUAAAGCCCUUUUGUUGGGAAAGAAAAGAAGCAGGUUAAUACCCAGCUGUUCUGACGGUACCCAAAGAAUAAGCACCGGCUAACUUCGUG